RNAcentral lists this ribosomal RNA (503 nucleotides) under uncultured bacterium. RNAcentral's name for it is "bacterial SSU rRNA". It matches the Rfam family "Bacterial small subunit ribosomal RNA", at positions 28 to 526 of the family's 1533-position model. The record is from RNAcentral.
GAUGAACGCUAGCGGCAGGCUUAACACAUGCAAGUCGAGGGGUAACAUGAGAGCUUGCUCUUGAUGACGACCGGCGCACGGGUGCGUAACGCGUAUAGAACCUACCUUUAACUGAGGGAUAGCCCAGAGAAAUUUGGAUUAAUACCUCAUAGUAUUAUUGAUUCGCAUGUUUUAAUAAUUAAAGAUUUAUUGGUUAAAGAUGGCUAUGCGUCUUAUUAGCUAGUUGGUAAGGUAACGGCUUACCAAGGCAACGAUAAGUAGGGGUCCUGAGAGGGAGAUCCCCCACACUGGUACUGAGACACGGACCAGACUCCUACGGGAGGCAGCAGUGAGGAAUAUUGGACAAUGGAGGCAACUCUGAUCCAGCCAUGCCGCGUGCAGGAAGACUGCCCUAUGGGUUGUAAACUGCUUUUAUAUAGGAAGAAACGCUUCUACGUGUAGAAGUUUGACGGUACUAUAAGAAUAAGGAUCGGCUAACUCCGUGCCAGCCGCCGCCGUAACAC